GUCUACGGCCAUGCUACCCUGAACAAGCCCGAUCCUGUCUGAUCUCGGAAACUAAGCAGAGUCGGGCCUGGUUAGUACUUGGAUGGGAGACCACUUACGAAGACCAGGUGCUAUAGGCG
Molecule: ribosomal RNA, 119 nt
Filed under: Pteropus alecto (black flying fox)
Lineage: Eukaryota; Metazoa; Chordata; Mammalia; Chiroptera; Pteropodidae
Source: RNAcentral